AGGUUUACGGACAGAACCAUCAACAAAGCCUAAUUUGUUCCUAGCGGACAAAGAAACUAUUAUGUUUCUCCUCCACCCCCCAAAACAAAUCCCUGAAAACGGAUUGGUAACCAAAGAAACUCCGGAUACAUCAGACGACAUAAGAAACAAAGGAUUUGACGGGUCAGGAACAAAAUUAGUAGGAGCAGGAGAAGAAUCAUCACCGAUGUUAGCCAUUUUAAGCACUAAUGAAGCCAAAACCUAAGGAAACCCCCAAAAAAUCUGACGGACAAAAAAAAACAUACAAACCAGCUAAUCCAAAAGCAAUACUCCGUGAACAUGCAACAUAUGAUGUCGACGAAGUAGCGAACAAACUCAAAAAUGGAUGAGAUGAGAAAAAAAAACUAAUCGAUUAAGAAAACCCUAGGUUCUGAAAGAGAGUGAAAACUCGGAUGAAACUCGACGAGGGUAACACCGCACGAAAGCUCUUGACAGGGAGAGUCGAAAAACCAGCUCUGAUACCAUGUUAACAUCCAUUGAAGCUUCGGAUUGAAGAAAAAAGAUGAAGAAGAUGAACAGUCGAAAAGAAGAAGAGAGAAUCUGAAGAGCUUCC
RNAcentral lists this long non-coding RNA (592 nucleotides) under Nicotiana benthamiana. RNAcentral describes it as "long non-coding RNA (NBEN_LNC018129)". The record is from RNAcentral. Lineage: Eukaryota; Viridiplantae; Streptophyta; Magnoliopsida; Solanales; Solanaceae.